Molecule: long non-coding RNA, 774 nt
Filed under: Rattus norvegicus (Norway rat)
Lineage: Eukaryota; Metazoa; Chordata; Mammalia; Rodentia; Muridae
Description: long non-coding RNA NONRATT010769
Source: RNAcentral
AAAUCUUACCUUCUUCGCAGGGAUAGCUCUGUGACAGUGCUCCCGGCUAUGAUUCCUUUUUCAUUUUACCAAAAGUAGAUCUUUGUUCUUACAAUUUUAUUCUGAUCAUGUUUUCCUCUCCCACAACUUCCCGCUGUCAUCCAGACUGCACACUGUUUUUCCUUAGUAAACAAAUAGGCAUCUAAAGAAAAUAAAAUAGGAUAAAAUAGAAACAAAUCAGAGUAGACAAAACAAACAUACAGAAGAGGAAGAGCCAAAGAAAAAGCAAGAGGACACAUACAGAGAUGUACACAUCUGGACACAUAGGAAUCUCGUAGAAACACAAAACUAGAAGCCAUAAUAUAUCCACCCAAAGGACCUUUAAGGAACUAAAGAAAAAGAAAAAUGCCCUUGAUACAACAUUAUGAGACAAAGAACCUCAAAAGAUGCCGUUCAGUUUCCUCUUGUCCAUCUACUGCUGGGCAUGGGGCCGAUCCUUAAGAGUGGUUUGUUUCUGCCAUGAGAUUCCCUUCGAAAAAACUAAUUUUUCACUUGCAAGCAGUUACCUGUUAGUGCUGGCUUCUGGGUUAGGGAAGGAGCUCGUCCCCACUUCUCUUGAUUCUGCGACCCUGUCUAGGGUAGCUCUGGACAGGCUCCGUGCAAGCUGCCUCUGUCUCUGAGUUUGUAAGUACUGUUUGUAAGGCCUUGUGCAUUAGGCUUUGUUUCCUUAAUGUCUUUCAUUCCCUCUCACUCUUACACUCUUUUUGCUUCCUCUCCUGCGGGAUUCCCUAAGCC